This 806-nucleotide ribosomal RNA is filed under the name uncultured bacterium. Its description in RNAcentral is "bacterial SSU rRNA". It matches the Rfam family "Bacterial small subunit ribosomal RNA", at positions 8 to 796 of the family's 1533-position model. The record is from RNAcentral.
AGAGUUUGAUCCUGGCUCAGAAUGAACGCUGGCGGCGUGCUUAACACAUGCAAGUCGUGCGCGAAGGUGGCUUCGGCCACCGGAGAGCGGCGAACGGGUGAGUAACACGUGGGUGAUCUGCCUGGAAGCGGGGGAUAACCUGGGGAAACUCGGGCUAAUACCGCAUACGUUCCUUGUGAUACGUCAUGAGGAAGAAAACCGGCCUCUACUUGUAAGCUGGUGUUUCCAGAGGAGCCCGCGGCUGAUUAGCUAGUUGGUGAGGUAAUGGCUCACCAAGGCGACGAUCAGUAGCCGGCCUGAGAGGGUGAUCGGCCACACUGGGACUGAGACACGGCCCAGACUCCUACGGGAGGCAGCAGUGGGGAAUAUUGGACAAUGGGCGCAAGCCUGAUCCAGCAACGCCGCGUGGAGGACGAAGGCCUUCGGGUCGUAAACUCCUGUCAGGCGGGACGAAGGUGUGGGGGUAAAUAAUCCUUGCACUUGACGGUACCGUCAGAGGAAGCCCCGGCUAACUCCGUGCCAGCAGCCGCGGUAAUACGGAGGGGGCGAGCGUUAUUCGGAAUUAUUGGGCGUAAAGGGCGCGUAGGCGGCUUGGCAAGUCAAAGGUGAAAUCCCUCGGCUCAACUGAGGAACUGCCUUUGAAACUGCUUGGCUUGAGGCCGGGAGGGGAGCGGAAUUCCCAGUGUAGCGGUGAAAUGCGUAGAUAUUGGGAGGAACACCAGUGGCGAAGGCGGCUACCUGGACCGGUUCUGACGCUGAUGCGCGAAAGCGUGGGUAGCAAACAGGAUUAGAUACCCUAGUAGUCC